AGGGAAUCUUCCGCAAUGGACGAAAGUCUGACGGAGCAACGCCGCGUGAGCGAAGAAGGCCUUCGGGUCGUAAAGCUCUGUUGUAAGGGAAGAACAAGCAUCGGUUAACUGCCGGUGCCCUGACGGUACCUUACCAGAAAGCCACGGCUAACUACGUGCCAGCAGCCGCGGUAAUACGUAGGUGGCAAGCGUUGUCCGGAAUUAUUGGGCGUAAAGCGCGCGCAGGCGGUCCUUUAAGUCUGAUGUGAAAGCCCACGGCUCAACCGUGGAGGGUCAUUGGAAACUGGGGGACUUGAGUGCAGAAGAGGAAAGCGGAAUUCCACGUGUAGCGGUGAAAUGCGUAGAGAUGUGGAGGAACACCAGUGGCGAAGGCGGCUUUCUGGUCUGUAACUGACGCUGAGGCGCGAAAGCGUGGGGAGCAAAC
This 424-nucleotide ribosomal RNA is filed under the name uncultured bacterium. RNAcentral's name for it is "bacterial SSU rRNA". It matches the Rfam family "Bacterial small subunit ribosomal RNA", at positions 356 to 773 of the family's 1533-position model. The record is from RNAcentral.